Molecule: ribosomal RNA, 465 nt
Filed under: uncultured bacterium
Lineage: Bacteria
Description: partial 16S ribosomal RNA
Rfam family: Bacterial small subunit ribosomal RNA
Source: RNAcentral
CCUACGGGCGGCAGCAGUAGGGAAUCUUCCACAAUGGGCGAAAGCCUGAUGGAGCAACGCCGCGUGGGUGAAGAAGGUCUUCGGAUCGUAAAACCCUGUUGUUAGAGAAGAAAGUGCGUGAGAGUAACUGUUCACGUUUCGACGGUAUCUAACCAGAAAGCCACGGCUAACUACGUGCCAGCAGCCGCGGUAAUACGUAGGUGGCAAGCGUUAUCCGGAUUUAUUGGGCGAAAAGGGACCGCAGGGGGUCUUUUAAGUCUGAUGUGAAAGCCUUCGGCUUAACCGGAGUAGUGCAUUGGAAACUGGGAGACGUGAGUGCAGAAGAGGAGAGUGGAACUCCAGGUGUAGCGGUGAAAUGCGUAGAUAUAUGGAAGAACACCAGUGGCGAAAGCGGCUCUCUGGUCUGUAACUGACGCUGAGGUUCGAAAGCGUGGGUAGCAAACAGGAUUAGAUACCCGGGUAGUC